UUAUUGGAGAGUUUGAUCCUGGCUCAGGACGAACGCUGGCGGCGUGCCUAAUACAUGCAAGUCGAGCGAGUCUCUUCGGAGGCUAGCGGCGGACGGGUGAGUAACACGUAGGCAACCUGCCUCUCAGACUGGGAUAACAUAGGGAAACUUAUGCUAAUACCGGAUAGGUUUUUGGAUCGCAUGAUCCGAAAAGAAAAGAUGGCUUCGGCUAUCACUGGGAGAUGGGCCUGCGGCGCAUUAGCUAGUUGGUGGGGUAACGGCCU
RNAcentral lists this ribosomal RNA (263 nucleotides) under Brevibacillus brevis. RNAcentral describes it as "partial 16S ribosomal RNA". It matches the Rfam family "Bacterial small subunit ribosomal RNA", at positions 1 to 266 of the family's 1533-position model. The record is from RNAcentral. RNAcentral also lists the same sequence under 1 other name. Lineage: Bacteria; Bacillati; Bacillota; Bacilli; Caryophanales; Paenibacillaceae.